Hordeum vulgare subsp. vulgare (domesticated barley) is the source of this 470-nucleotide long non-coding RNA. RefSeq lists it as uncharacterized. The transcript has 2 exons. NCBI's taxonomy places the organism in Eukaryota, Viridiplantae, Streptophyta, Magnoliopsida, Poales, Poaceae. The record is from RefSeq and is a predicted model, not a curated record.
UAGACCAAUCAUGCAUAUCUUUUACCGAGCAUUUUCAAACUGCAUAAGAAGAGGAUGGACAGGCACACGAUCCACAUCUACGGUCUAGCGGCCUUGCUGCUGUCUCUCCAUCUCAUAUGCUCCGCACCUACUGCGCAAUGUCGGAUGAUGGGCGAAGAAGACGUGGAUGACGAGAAGAUCAGUUUACCGUAUGGGCUUUGUGUCAACAACAAACGAUGCAAAUAUGGAUGGAUUUGCUUGUGUUGUCUCACGAAUCUCGAGUGCUACCCGUCCAUGGAUGCGUGCAAGAUAGAUUGUCAGAAACCCUCUGCUGCUAACAUGGUGUCCAUGGCAAUGACCCCUUCUCCUUUACCUGCCCCCUCUCCCGCCUCUUCAUUAGGUUCAACUUGAAUUACAUAUUUAUUUAUUUUUGCCAGGGACUUAAUGGAUAUUGUGUGAAAAAAUAAUUUGGAAUAGAAGUAUCUCAUACA